CCCGGCGACCGGCGCACGGGUGAGUAACGCGUAUGCAACUUACCUAUCAGAGGGGGAUAACCCGGCGAAAGUCGGACUAAUACCGCAUGAAGCAGGGGCCCCGCAUGGGGAUAUUUGCUAAAGAUUCAUCGCUGAUAGAUAGGCAUGCGUUCCAUUAGGCAGUUGGCGGGGUAACGGCCCACCAAACCGACGAUGGAUAGGGGUUCUGAGAGGAAGGUCCCCCACAUUGGUACUGAGACACGGACCAA
Molecule: ribosomal RNA, 248 nt
Filed under: uncultured bacterium
Lineage: Bacteria
Description: partial 16S ribosomal RNA
Rfam family: Bacterial small subunit ribosomal RNA
Source: RNAcentral